AUUGAACGCUGGCGGCAGGCCUAACACAUGCAAGUCGAGCGGAGCGGCGGACGGGUGAGUAAUGCCUAGGAAUCUGCCUGGUAGUGGGGGAUAACGUCCGGAAACGGGCGCUAAUACCGCAUAAUAUCAGAUGAGCCUAGGUCGGAUUAGCUAGUUGGUGGGGUAAAGUCCUACCAAGGAGAAGAUCCGUAACUGGUCUGAGAGGCUGAUCAGUCACACUGGAACUGAGACACGGUCCAGACUCCUACGGGAGGCAGCAGGGGGAAAUAUUGGGCAAUGGGCGAAAGCCUGAUCAAGCCAUGCCGCGUAGGUGAAGAAGUUCUGCGGAUUGUAAAGCACUGGAAGUUGGGAGGCGUUACCAACAGAAUAAGCACCGGCUAACUUCGUGCCAGCAGCGGCGGUAAUAC
This 407-nucleotide ribosomal RNA is filed under the name uncultured bacterium. RNAcentral's name for it is "partial 16S ribosomal RNA". It matches the Rfam family "Bacterial small subunit ribosomal RNA", at positions 30 to 526 of the family's 1533-position model. The record is from RNAcentral.